This 116-nucleotide unclassified non-coding RNA is filed under the name Macacine alphaherpesvirus 1. The record is from RNAcentral. Lineage: Duplodnaviria; Heunggongvirae; Peploviricota; Herviviricetes; Herpesvirales; Orthoherpesviridae.
GCGCCGCGGGACGCGCCGGCGGCGGCCGAGAGUGAGGGUGGCGAGCGCGUGGACGCACCUCCCGACGUGCUGGUUGCCCGCGCUCUCGGGCGCGGCCGGACGGCGGCGGAGCGCGC